Molecule: ribosomal RNA, 406 nt
Filed under: bacterium enrichment culture clone ALO1_GLFRUDD03GI8PF
Lineage: Bacteria
Description: bacterial SSU rRNA
Rfam family: Bacterial small subunit ribosomal RNA
Source: RNAcentral
GAGUUUGAUCUUGGCUCAGAUUGAACGCUGGCGGCAUGCCUUACACAUGCAAGUCGAACGGCAGCACGGGAGCUUGCUCCUGGUGGCGAGUGGCGAACGGGUGAGUAAUGCAUCGGAACGUAUCCUGGAGUGGGGGAUAACGUAGCGAAAGUUACGCUAAUACCGCAUAUUCUGUGAGCAGGAAAGCGGGGGACCUUCGGGCCUCGCGCUCUUGGAGCGGCCGAUGUCGGAUUAGCUAGUUGGUGAGGUAAAGGCUCACCAAGGCGACGAUCCGUAGCAGGUCUGAGAGGAUGAUCUGCCACACUGGAACUGAGACACGGCCCAGACUCCUACGGGAGGCAGCAGUGGGAAUUUUGGACAAUGGGGGCAACCCUGAUCCAGCCAUGCCGCGUGAGUGAAGAAGGCC